RNAcentral lists this ribosomal RNA (409 nucleotides) under soil fungal sp. DM069. RNAcentral describes it as "eukaryotic LSU rRNA". It matches the Rfam family "Eukaryotic large subunit ribosomal RNA", at positions 180 to 596 of the family's 3401-position model. Lineage: Eukaryota; Fungi. The record is from RNAcentral.
UCCGAGUUCCCUGGAACGGGACGCCAUAGAGGGUGAGAGCCCCGUCUGGUUGGAUGCCAAAUCUCUGUAAAGUUCCUUCAACGAGUCGAGUAGUUUGGGAAUGCUGCUCUAAAUGGGAGGUAUAUGUCUUCUAAAGCUAAAUACCGGCCAGAGACCGAUAGCGCACAAGUAGAGUGAUCGAAAGAUGAAAAGCACUUUGAAAAGAGAGUUAAAAAGUACGUGAAAUUGUUGAAAGGGAAGCGUUUAUGACCAGACUUGGGCUUGGUUAAUCAUCUGGGGUUCUCCCCAGUGCACUUUUCCAGUCCAGGCCAGCAUCAGUUUUCCCCGGGGNAUAAAGGCGGCGGGAAUGUGNCUCUCUUCGGGGAGUGUUAUAGCCCACCGNGUAAUACCCUGGGGGGGACUGAGGUUC